AGUCGACGGUGUCUUCGGACACAGUGGCGGACGGGUGAGUAACGCGUGAGAAUCUGGCUUUAGGUCUGGGACAACCACUGGAAACGGUGGCUAAUACCGGAUGUGCCGAAAGGUGAAAGGUUAACUGCCUGAAGAUGAGCUCGCGUCUGAUUAGCUAGUUGGUGUGGUAAGAGCGCACCAAGGCGACGAUCAGUAGCUGGUCUGAGAGGACGAUCAGCCACACUGGGACUGAGACACGGCCCAGACUCCUACGGGAGGCAGCAGUGGGGAAUUUUCCGCAAUGGGCGAAAGCCUGACGGAGCAAUACCGCGUGAGGGAGGAAGGCUCUUGGGUCGUAAACCUCUUUUCUCAGGGAAGAACACAAUGACGGUACCUGAGGAAUAGGCAUCGGCUAACUCCGUGCCAGCAGCCGCGGUAAUACGGAGGAUGCAAGCGUUAUCCGGAAUGAUUGGGCGUAAAGCGUCCGCAGGUGGCUAUGUAAGUCUGCUGUUAAAGAGUCUAGCUCAACUAGAUAAGAGCAGUGGAAACUACACGGCUAGAGUACGUUCGGGGCAGAGGGAAUUCCUGGUGUAGCGGUGAAAUGCGUAGAGAUCAGGAAGAACACCAGUGGCGAAGGCGCUCUGCUAGGCCGUAACUGACACUGAGGGACGAAAGCUAGGGGAGCGAAUGGGAUUAGAUACCCCAGUAGUCCUAGCCGUA
RNAcentral lists this ribosomal RNA (699 nucleotides) under uncultured cyanobacterium. RNAcentral describes it as "bacterial SSU rRNA". It matches the Rfam family "Bacterial small subunit ribosomal RNA", at positions 60 to 804 of the family's 1533-position model. Lineage: Bacteria; Bacillati; Cyanobacteriota. The record is from RNAcentral.